This 275-nucleotide ribosomal RNA is filed under the name uncultured bacterium. RNAcentral's name for it is "partial 16S ribosomal RNA". It matches the Rfam family "Bacterial small subunit ribosomal RNA", at positions 357 to 630 of the family's 1533-position model. The record is from RNAcentral.
AGGAAUAUUGGUCAAUGGACGCAAGUCUGAACCAGCCAUGCCGCGUGAAGGAUGAAGGUCCUCUGGAUUGUAAACUUCUUUUAUCUGGGACGAAAACGGGAUUUUUAUCUCAAUUGACGGUACCAGAGGAAUAAGCACCGGCUAACUCCGUGCCAGCAGCCGCGGUAAUACGGAGGGUGCGAGCGUUAUCCGGAUUUACUGGGUUUAAAGGGUGCGUAGGUGGGCGUAUAAGUCAGUGGUGAAAUCUCCGAGCUUAACUUGGAAACUGCCGUUGA